Austrofundulus limnaeus is the source of this 553-nucleotide long non-coding RNA. RefSeq lists it as uncharacterized. NCBI's taxonomy places the organism in Eukaryota, Metazoa, Chordata, Actinopteri, Cyprinodontiformes, Rivulidae. The record is from RefSeq and is a predicted model, not a curated record. The transcript is spliced from 3 exons.
CUCAGGGCUUCCCUAGCAGAGCUAUGAAGGAAGAUUUUGGAGAUCUCUACAUUAAAGACCUUUGAAGAGCAGUCCUGUGGUCUGUGACUCGGUUAAGAAAAAAACACUUGGUCAUCCAGGCAGCGAGAAACGUUGCAGAGGGCUACAACUGCAGUCGCAUUUCAUCUGACGUCUACAUCGGUGAGGUGGGGGGAGGAAAAAAACUUCCUGACGACAAAAGAAGAGCUUGAUUACAGCGAGUGGCCGGCAGAUAAGGCGAACAAUGCUGACCGCAGUGACACACAUCCUCAACGUGAUGCUGUUGUCUGCACAUCCAGCAGAAAAGAGGUCAGGCAGCUGGAUGUUCAUGGAGUUAAAACAGCAGAAGUAAAGCCACCACAAGCAACAAGGAAUGGCCUGGAUCAAGGUGCUCCCCCGUCGUCAUCCUGCACGCUAUCUGAACCGUAUUAGUCAAGCUUGAAAAGACUCCCCUCAUUUCCCACAAGACCCCUGAAGAUGGAUGAGCAGCAGGAAGCCAGACGAAACGCAGGUAAAAAAGAACAAAAGAAAACAG